RNAcentral lists this ribosomal RNA (455 nucleotides) under uncultured bacterium. RNAcentral describes it as "bacterial SSU rRNA". It matches the Rfam family "Bacterial small subunit ribosomal RNA", at positions 340 to 786 of the family's 1533-position model. The record is from RNAcentral.
UACGGGAGGCAGCAGUAGGGAAUAUUGGGCAAUGGGCGAGAGCCUGACCCAGCCAUGCCGCGUGCAGGAAGAAGGCUUUCUGAGUCGUAAACUGCUUUUGACAGGGAAGAAUAAGCACUACGUGUAGUGUGAUGACGGUACCUGCAGAAUAAGCACCGGCUAACUCCGUGCCAGCAGCCGCGGUAAUACGGAGGGUGCGAGCGUUGUCCGGAUUUAUUGGGUUUUAAAGGGUGCGUAGGCGGCUUUUUUAAGUCUGGGGUGAAAGCCCGCUGCUCAACAGCGGAACUGCCCCUGGAUACUGGAGAGCUUGAGUACAGACGAGGUUGGCGGAAUGGACUGAGUAGCGGUGAAAUGCAUAGAUACAGUCCAGAACCCGAUUGCGAAGGCAGCUGACUAGGCUGUUACUGACGCUGAGGCACGAAAGCGUGGGGAGCGGAACAGGAAUUAAGGAUACC